AGAGUUUGAUCCUGGCUCAGAUUGAACGCUGGCGGCAGGCUUAACACAUGCAAGUCGAGCGGAAACGAUGAUAGCUUGCUAUCAGGCGUCGAGCGGCGGACGGGUGAGUAAUACUUAGGAAUCUACCUAGUAGUGGGGGAUAGCACGGGGAAACUCGUAUUAAUACCGCAUACGACCUACGGGAGAAAGGGGGCAGUUUACUGCUCUCGCUAUUAGAUGAGCCUAAGUCGGAUUAGCUAGAUGGUGGGGUAAAGGCCUACCAUGGCGACGAUCUGUAGCUGGUCUGAGAGGAUGAUCAGCCACACCGGGACUGAGACACGGCCCGGACUCCUACGGGAGGCAGCAGUGGGGAAUAUUGGACAAUGGGGGAAACCCUGAUCCAGCCAUGCCGCGUGUGUGAAGAAGGCCUUUUGGUUGUAAAGCACUUUAAGCAGUGAAGAAGACUCCGUGGUUAAUACCCACGGACGAUGACAUUAGCUGCAGAAUAAGCACCGGCUAACUCUGUGCCAGCAGCCGCGGUAAUACAGAGGGUGCAAGCGUUAAUCGGAAUUACUGGGCGUAAAGGGAGCGUAGGUGGCUCUAUAAGUCAGAUGUGAAAUCCCCGGGCUCAACCUGGGAACUGCAUCUGAAACUGUAGAGCUAGAGUAUGUGAGAGGAAGGUAGAAUUCCAGGUGUAGCGGUGAAAUGCGUAGAGAUCUGGAGGAAUACCGAUGGCGAAGGCAGCCUUCUGGCAUAAUACUGACACUGAGGCUCGAAAGCGUGGGUAGCAAACAGGAUUAGAUACCCUGGUAGUCCACGCCGUAAACGAUGUCUACUAGUCGUUGGGUCCCUUGAGGACUUAGUGACGCAGCUAACGCAAUAAGUAGACCGCCUGGGGAGUACGGCCGCAAGGUUAAAACUCAAAUGAAUUGACGGGGGCCCGCACAAGCGGUGGAGCAUGUGGUUUAAUUCGAUGCAACGCGAAGAACCUUACCUGGUCUUGACAUAUCUAGAAUCCUGCAGAGAUGCGGGAGUGCCUUCGGGAAUUAGAAUACAGGUGCUGCAUGGCUGUCGUCAGCUCGUGUCGUGAGAUGUUGGGUUAAGUCCCGCAACGAGCGCAACCCUUGUCCUUAGUUACCAGCGGGUUAAGCCGGGAACUCUAAGGAUACUGCCAGUGACAAACUGGAGGAAGGCGGGGACGACGUCAAGUCAUCAUGGCCCUUACGUCCAGGGCUACACACGUGCUACAAUGGUAGGUACAGAGGGCAGCUACACAGCGAUGUGAUGCGAAUCUCAAAAAGCCUAUCGUAGUCCAGAUUGGAGUCUGCAACUCGACUCCAUGAAGUAGGAAUCGCUAGUAAUCGCGGAUCAGAAUGCCGCGGUGAAUACGUUCCCGGGCCUUGUACACACCGCCCGUCACACCAUGGGAGUUGAUUGCACCAGAAGUGGAUAGCUUAACCUUCGGGGAGGCGUUCACCACGGUGUGGUUGAUGACUGGGGUGAAGUCGUAACAAGGUAACC
RNAcentral lists this ribosomal RNA (1500 nucleotides) under Psychrobacter sp. BSw21507. RNAcentral describes it as "bacterial SSU rRNA". It matches the Rfam family "Bacterial small subunit ribosomal RNA". Lineage: Bacteria; Pseudomonadati; Pseudomonadota; Gammaproteobacteria; Moraxellales; Moraxellaceae. The record is from RNAcentral.